AGGAUAAACGCUGGCGGCGUGCCUAACACAUGCAAGUCGAACGUCUCUUUCUUCGGGAAGAGGAGUGGCGGACGGGUGAGGAACACGUGGGAACCUGCCCUUCAGUGAGGAAUACCGGCGAGAAAUCGCCGACAAGACCGCAUAGCCCUCUCUGGUGAGAGCCAGAGAAGGAAAGCCUCGCAAGAGGCGCUGGAGGAGGGGCCUGCGUCCGAUUAGCUAGUUGGUGGGGUAAGAGCCUACCAAGGCGUCGAUCGGUAGCUGGUCUGAGAGGACGAUCAGCCACACUGGGAUUGAGAACGGCCCAGACUCCUACGGGGGGCAGCAGUGAGGAAUUUUCGGCAAUGGGGGAAACCCUGACCGAGCAACGCCGCGUGCGGGACGACGGCCUUCGGGUUGUAAACUGCUUUCUCUGGGACGAGCAAGGACGGUACCAGAGGAAGAAGCCCCGGCUAACUACGCGCCAGCAGCCGC
This 471-nucleotide ribosomal RNA is filed under the name uncultured bacterium. RNAcentral's name for it is "SSU rRNA". It matches the Rfam family "Bacterial small subunit ribosomal RNA", at positions 26 to 518 of the family's 1533-position model. The record is from RNAcentral.